This 74-nucleotide transfer RNA is filed under the name Salomonia cantoniensis. RNAcentral's name for it is "tRNA-His". It matches the Rfam family "tRNA". Rfam says of the family: Transfer RNA (tRNA) molecules are approximately 80 nucleotides in length. Their secondary structure includes four short double-helical elements and three loops (D, anti-codon, and T loops). The record is from RNAcentral. Lineage: Eukaryota; Viridiplantae; Streptophyta; Magnoliopsida; Fabales; Polygalaceae.
GCGGAUGUAGCCAAGUGGAUCAAGGCACUGGAUUGUGAAUCCAUUAUGCGCGGGUUCAAGUCCCGUCGUUCGCC